This 318-nucleotide ribosomal RNA is filed under the name uncultured fungus. RNAcentral describes it as "SSU rRNA". It matches the Rfam family "Eukaryotic small subunit ribosomal RNA", at positions 1344 to 1680 of the family's 1831-position model. The record is from RNAcentral. Lineage: Eukaryota; Fungi.
CGACCUGCUAAAUAGUUGAUCGAACUCUUCGGGGUUCGUGUUGACUUCUUAGAGGGACUUUUGGACGAGUAGCCAAAGGAAGUUCGAGGCAAUAACAGGUCUGUGAUGCCCUUAGAUGUUCUGGGCCGCACGCGCGCUACACUGAUCGGUUCAUCGAGUUUACAACCUUGACUGAUAAGUCUGGGUAAUCUUGUAAAGCCGAUCGUGCUGGGGAUAGAUCAUUGCAAUUAUUGAUCUUCAACGAGGAAUUCCUAGUAAACGCGAGUCAUCCACUCGCAUUGAUUACGUCCCUGCCCUUUGUACACACCGCCCGUCGCU